UGCAAGUCGAGCGGACCGACGGGAGCUUGCUCCCUUAGGUCAGCGGCGGACGGGUGAGUAACACGUGGGUAACCUGCCUGUAAGACUGGGAUAACUCCGGGAAACCGGGGCUAAUACCGGAUGCUUGAUUGAACCGCAUGGUUCAAUCAUGAAAGGCGGCUUCGGCUGCCGUUUACAGAUGGACCCGCGGCGCAUUAGCUAGUUGGUGAGGUAACGGCUCACCAAGGCGACGAUGCGUAGCCGACCUGAGAGGGUGAUCGGCCACACUGGGACUGAGACACGGCCCAGACUCCUACGGGAGGCAGCAGU
RNAcentral lists this ribosomal RNA (309 nucleotides) under Bacillus sp. CSu1_2. Its description in RNAcentral is "bacterial SSU rRNA". It matches the Rfam family "Bacterial small subunit ribosomal RNA", at positions 56 to 355 of the family's 1533-position model. The record is from RNAcentral. Lineage: Bacteria; Bacillati; Bacillota; Bacilli; Caryophanales; Bacillaceae.